AUAUAAGGAUGUCAAUAAAUCAUAUACCAAUAACCUAUCAGGCUAUGAGGGUAAUCCAUCCUUCUUAGUCGACUGGCCAUGGUGCAAUUACUUAGUUGCAUGAGUUCUGCGAUCGUUUUCAGUUCUCAGUUCUCACGGUAUAGUUAUUUUCAGUGCCAAAUGAAUAUGAACUUUCGUCAUCCAAACCUUUUCUUUCUUUUUCUAUUCUAUUUGUAUAUCGUCAUAUUUGGUGUUCUCAUCACAUUUGUAUUGAAUUAUAGGUAAGAAAGAGAGAACAGACUUGACAUAUUUUCUGAAUGAAAAUAAUAUCAAUCUAUAUAUAUAUAUAUAUAUAUACACACACACAAUAGUUAAGUUAGGUGCGGACGUCCGCACCAAAGUUUUUGGUACGGAUUUCUAUUUUUGCACCACUUCCCGAUCGAAUUUCCUCAAACUUCCUUCUAGACAUAUCUAGAUCAUCUUGUGUAGAUCAUCUCUGCAAAAUUUCAGCCAAUUUGGUAAUGGUUAAGGCCCUUAAACUCGAGUUUUUCUUAUAUGAACACAACCGGACAGAAUUCAGUCCGUCCAUUUGUAUAUAUAUAUAUAUACAAUGCUGAUCAGGUGCGGUAUUUCCNNNNNNNNNNNNNNNNNNNNCCCUUAAAACCCUAGUAAGAGUAUUCUUAACUUAAUCCUAUAAGUCGCAAGGAAAAAUAGAUAACUUUCUUGAAUAUUUUGAUAACUUAAUUACGAAAAUUUAGGUUGGUGAAGUUUUUACAUUAAAUGAGGUGAUUUUUUUUUCUUUCAAAAAUCCAAUAAAAAAUGUAACCAUAAAUUAAGCCAUAGCUCUCUCUCUCUAUAUAUCUAUUUGCCAUCACCGGUACCACAACAUCGAUUUCAAAAUCAACCACUUAACAAUAUUCCCACAUCAUUUGCGCAAUAUCAUCUCACAUGCAGAUUACCAUGCACACAAGUUCUCAACUGCAUAUGGGUAUAUGUAUUGAUUUAGAAGCCUAAAUAGGUUUUUAAUUAUUUUGACAUGUAUGCUGAUGUUUUUGAAGAGACGAUAUAUAUAUAUAUAUAUAUAUAUAUAUAUAUAUAUAUAUAUAUAACUGCUUAAUUAUGUACUAGGUGAGAACAUUUGUUGGAGAAGGAAUGAAUUCAAGAUAUUGAUAUCCACUAUUGUUUUGUCUAAAUAGAAUUAAGAUAUUGGAAGAUAUUAAAGUAAAUGAAAGUUUUCUUUUCAUUGGAAUGAAAGUUGAGAAUUACAAAGAUAAGCGACUGCAAGCUGUUGUGGAUGUAACAUACGGUAUCCAAACGAGCCUCGGGAGUCCAUUAUGUGGUCUUCGAUUAUGGCACGCACCGUCUGAUUAAGCAUAUCCGUGUUCCCAUGACAGGAGAGUGGAUGAACCUCUCCGAGAUGGGAAAUCGUGAUGGUGGUGAGUCGAUAUAUGGGCACAGUCAGUCUAUUACUGACUUGAGGGGUGAGAGAAAGACGUUUGAAUGUCUAACUUAUUAAUGUUCAGAUAAGUUUGGCGGAGGAAGUGAGAUAAAAAAAAAACUAACUCGAUUGAUUACAAUCCAUGUAUAAUUUUGAUGGAGGAAGUUAAAUCGAACUGUCAACUUUGCACAACACAUCCAUAUAAUGUUUUCUAUAUAUGAUAAGAACACUAGUUGAGUUUAUAUCUACAACAUUGUUUUGGCACUGACUAAGUUUUUGUUUCCUAUCAACUUCUGAAAUAAAUCUAGCCAAUUCAAAAUAAUUAAAAUAAAUGAUGUCAUGCAUGCUAUUUCUAGUUCUUGCACUUUCAAGCAUAAUCCAAUACGCAUUUAAACCGAAAAUAUUAAUAUUCA
Molecule: long non-coding RNA, 1830 nt
Filed under: Fragaria vesca (wild strawberry)
Lineage: Eukaryota; Viridiplantae; Streptophyta; Magnoliopsida; Rosales; Rosaceae
Description: long non-coding RNA (FVES_LNC001969)
Source: RNAcentral